Long non-coding RNA from Mauremys reevesii (Reeves's turtle), 1009 nucleotides. RefSeq lists it as uncharacterized. NCBI's taxonomy places the organism in Eukaryota, Metazoa, Chordata, Testudines, Geoemydidae. The record is from RefSeq and is a predicted model, not a curated record. The transcript has 5 exons.
GCCUCAGCCGCCGCGGCUAGGAGACCAGGAACCCGCCCCGCCCCCUCACCUGGAGGCUGAGGCGCCGGACCGGGUGGCGGGAGGGGUCCAGCCAAGCGGUGCUCACAGCCCUGGAGCGUCGGCGGGGCUGCACAGCAGGGGCUGGAUUGUGAUAUCUUCACUGCUGUUGAAUAUCACCUGACACUGAGUAAUCUUGUUGAAGCAAAUUGAGUAAGGUACCACUUAAUGAACCUGCAUGCUAAUAGCUAUUGAGGACAUAAACGAGAAGGUUGUCUUUGGCUGAUUUUGAAGAUGGAGGCAGAAUCAGAGAUGUCUGAGUUUCAUUUGACACAUGGCAGAAAGAUUGCAGCUGGCCCUCAAGGCCUUUGGAAAUGACACAAGCUACUAUUAUAACUAGCAGUUAAAGGUGUGCACCUAAAAGGAUAGAAACAGGCCUACAAAGUUGGAGCUACCAGUGGAUGAAUUUAAUUCCCGCUCAUUCCAAAUCGGGGCUACGAAAGCUUCGGCCCAACUUGGGUGAGGGGCCACAGUGAUGCAGGCAAUUGGGUGAUGGCAUUCAAAUGCAUACAGGAUGUAGGGGAGACCCCAGCCCCCCUCAAUGAUGGCGAAGAAGGGCAGCACAGCCCCAGCAGCAGGAUGGCUGGGACCCAGCUGGGGAUUAUGUGGAAAUGAUGAUCUGCACUGUACAAUUUAUUGCUGGCUACUCCCAGAUAUUUUAAGUGAAUAAAUCUGUGGCCUAAUUAAACCACAUCCAUUACCUCCUGCCUUUCUGCUGGUGUGGCCAGAUGACAAAGCACAUGUCAACAGAGGUCAUUGUACCAUCAUCAAUGCAGAUGUUCAAGAUUAUAUAACAUAACAAGGGGAAUACUGGGAAAGGACUGUUAGAUGCAAGCGUUGGACAGAGACCCUUUAAUUCUGCAUUAAUGGUUCAAAAGAAGGGAGCAGGAAGAGGGGAAACUGGUACAGGGAAACCCCGCCAUAAUGCGCCCCGCAAUAAUGCAAAUUUGGA